RNAcentral lists this transfer RNA (76 nucleotides) under Melinis repens. RNAcentral describes it as "partial tRNA-Leu". It matches the Rfam family "tRNA", at positions 10 to 71 of the family's 71-position model. From Rfam's summary of the family: Transfer RNA (tRNA) molecules are approximately 80 nucleotides in length. Their secondary structure includes four short double-helical elements and three loops (D, anti-codon, and T loops). RNAcentral also lists the same sequence under 63 other names. Lineage: Eukaryota; Viridiplantae; Streptophyta; Magnoliopsida; Poales; Poaceae. The record is from RNAcentral.
UCGAAAUCGGUAGACGCUACGGACUUAAAAUCCGUCGACUUUAUAAGUCGUGAGGGUUCAAGUCCCUCUAUCCCCA